CAUCUUUUUUACAUCAUGGCAACCAAAAGUAUUCCAAGUGUGGCCUUACCAAGGCAUCCCUCAAUGGCUUGAUAUCUCCUUGAGCAUUGUAAAAACCUGAGAUCAUUAGUGAUGUCACCCAGAUGGCCCUGACCCCUCAAACCCACAGCAGCACUGGCCAGGGAUGCCAAUGGCUGCCACAGAAAUCUAUUAAAUUCCAGAAUACAAAGAAAAGGAAACCGCAUGAUAGAUUAAAUUGUCUCUAGGCUUACUCUGGGCUGGCUCACUGAACACCCGUUUUAUCAAUGGAUACUUCUGCUCAAAGAAGCAGGAUCAUUUGCACCAGUUAAAGCCAAAGACAACCUGAUGAUAGCAGAAAUUGUAUAUUAACAAGCUUUCAACAGUGUCCUUCUCCCUGAAGUUGAAGUCUGCCUGUUUUCACUGUAUACUUGUGCAAUGGCUAGAAGCAAAUAGUGAGAAGUGGAAAUGAGUUUCCCUAUCUUCCAUGCAAGUAUUAUGAAUGAAAGAAAGGUUACAACCUAUAAAGAUGGCAUUGUAUUGAUUGCGUUGUAAACCAUCCAGAGUCACUUUGGACUUUGAGAUGAACAGAAUAGACAUUUAAUUAUUUAUACAUUUAAUAAAGAUAUUUUCCUGUCUGUAUUUUG
Pseudonaja textilis is the source of this 644-nucleotide non-coding RNA. The record is from RefSeq and is a predicted model, not a curated record. NCBI's taxonomy places the organism in Eukaryota, Metazoa, Chordata, Lepidosauria, Squamata, Elapidae.